RNAcentral lists this ribosomal RNA (1455 nucleotides) under uncultured bacterium. Its description in RNAcentral is "bacterial SSU rRNA". It matches the Rfam family "Bacterial small subunit ribosomal RNA". The record is from RNAcentral.
GACGAACGCUGGCGGCAUGCCUAACACAUGCAAGUCGAACGGAGUAAGAGAGAAGCUUGCUUAGCUCUUACUUAGUGGCGGACGGGUGAGUAACGCGUGAGUAACCUGCCUUUCAGAGGGGGAUAACGUUCUGAAAAGAACGCUAAUACCGCAUGAUAUAUUGGGGUCGCAUGGCCUUGGUAUCAAAGGAGCAAUCCGCUGAAAGAUGGACUCGCGUCCGAUUAGCCAGUUGGCAGGGUAACGGCCUACCAAAGCGACGAUCAGUAGCCGACCUGAGAGGGUGACCGGCCACAUUGGGACUGAGACACGGCCCAAACUCCUACGGGAGGCAGCAGUGGGGAAUAUUGCACAAUGGGCGAAAGCCUGAUGCAGCGACGCCGCGUGAGUGAAGAAGUAUUUCGGUAUGUAAAGCUCUAUCAGCAGGGAAGAAAAUGACGGUACCUGACUAAGAAGCCCCGGCUAACUACGUGCCAGCAGCCGCGGUAAUACGUAGGGGGCAAGCGUUAUCCGGAUUUACUGGGUGUAAAGGGAGCGUAGACGGCGAAGCAAGUCUGAAGUGAAAACCCAGGGCUCAACCCUGGGACUGCUUUGGAAACUGUUUUGCUAGAGUGUCGGAGAGGUAAGUGGAAUUCCUAGUGUAGCGGUGAAAUGCGUAGAUAUUAGGAGGAACACCAGUGGCGAAGGCGGCCAACUGGGCUUUUACUGACGCUGAGGCUCGAAAGCGUGGGGAGCAAACAGGAUUAGAUACCCUGGUAGUCCACGCUGUAAACGAUGAUUACUAGGUGUGGGGGGACUGACCCCUUCCGUGCCGGAGUUAACACAAUAAGUAAUCCACCUGGGGAGUACGGCCGCAAGGUUGAAACUCAAAGGAAUUGACGGGGGCCCGCACAAGCAGUGGAGUAUGUGGUUUAAUUCGAAGCAACGCGAAGAACCUUACCAAGUCUUGACAUCCCAAUGACGUGUCCGUAACGGGGCAUUCUCUUCGGAGUAUUGGAGACAGGUGGUGCAUGGUUGUCGUCAGCUCGUGUCGUGAGAUGUUGGGUUAAGUCCCGCAACGAGCGCAACCCUUAUCCUUAGUAGCCAGCAGGUAAAGCUGGGCACUCUAGGGAGACUGCCGGGGAUAACCCGGAGGAAGGCGGGGAUGACGUCAAAUCAUCAUGCCCCUUAUGAUUUGGGCUACACACGUGCUACAAUGGCGUAAACAAAGGGAAGCGAGACAGUGAUGUUGAGCAAAUCCCAGAAAUAACGUCUCAGUUCGGAUUGUAGUCUGCAACUCGACUACAUGAAGCUGGAAUCGCUAGUAAUCGCGAAUCAGCAUGUCGCGGUGAAUACGUUCCCGGGUCUUGUACACACCGCCCGUCACACCAUGGGAGUUGGAAAUGCCCGAAGCCUGUGACCUAACCGCAAGGGAGGAGCAGUCGAAGGCAGGUCUAAUAACUGGGGUGAAGUCGUAAC